UAGGGAAUCUUCNGCNAUGGACGGAAGUCUGACCGAGCAACGCCGCGUGAGUGAAGAAGGUUUUCGGAUCGUAAAGCUCUGUUGUAAGANAAGAACGAGUGUGAGAGUGGAAAGUUCACACUGUGACGGUAUCUUACCAGAAAGGGACGGCUAACUACGUGCCANCAGCCGCGGUAAUACNUAGGUCCCGAGCGUUAUCCGGAUUUAUUGGGCGUAAAGCGAGCGCAGGCGGUUAGAUAAGUCUGAAGUUAAAGGCUGUGGCUUAACCAUAGUACGCUUUGGAAACUGUUUAACUUGAGUGCAAGAGGGGAGAGUGGAAUUCCAUGUGUAGCGGUGAAAUGCGUAGAUAUAUGGAGGAACACCGGUGGCGAAAGCGGCUCUCUGGCUUGUAACUGACGCUGAGGCUCGAAAGCAUGGGUAGCGAACAGGAUUAGAUACCCUGGUAGUCCAUGCCGUANACGAUGAGUGCUAGGGUGUUGGAGGGUUUCCGCCCUUCAGUGCCGGAGCUAACGCAUUAAGCACUCCGCCNGNNNAGUACGACCGCNAAGGUUG
Molecule: ribosomal RNA, 552 nt
Filed under: uncultured bacterium
Lineage: Bacteria
Description: bacterial SSU rRNA
Rfam family: Bacterial small subunit ribosomal RNA
Source: RNAcentral